Molecule: ribosomal RNA, 567 nt
Filed under: uncultured archaeon
Lineage: Archaea
Description: bacterial SSU rRNA
Rfam family: Archaeal small subunit ribosomal RNA
Source: RNAcentral
CGGGGUGCAGCAGGCGCGAAAACUUUACAAUGCUGGCAACAGCGAUAAGGGGACCUCGAGUGCCAGGAUACAAUCUUGGCUGUCGCGAUGCCUAAAAAGCAUUGCAUAGCAAGGGCCGGGCAAGACCGGUGCCAGCCGCCGCGGUAACACCGGCGGCUCGAGUGGUAACCGUUAUUAUUGGGUCUAAAGGGUCUGUAGCCGGCCGGAUAAGUCUCUUGGGAAAUCCAGCAGCUCAACUGUUGGGCUUUCAGGAGAUACUGUCUGGCUCGAGGCCGGGAGAGGUGAGAGGUACUUCAGGGGUAGGGGUGAAAUCUUGUAAUCCUUGAAGGACCACCAGUGGCGAAGGCGUCUCACCAGAACGGACCUGACGGCAAGGGACGAAAGCUAGGGGCACGAACCGGAUUAGAUACCCGGGUAGUCCUAGCCGUAAACGAUACUCGCUAGGUGUCGGCCACGGUGCGACCGUUGUCGGUGCCGUAGGGAAGCCGUGAAGCGAGCCACCUGGGAAGUACGGCCGCAAGGCUGAAACUUAAAGGAAUUGGCGGGGGAGCACAAGGGCGAUUCGCG